GACGAACGCUGGCGGCGUGCUUAACACAUGCAAGUCGAACGGAAAGGCCCUGCUUUUGUGGGGUGCUCGAGUGGCGAACGGGUGAGUAACACGUGAGUAACCUGCCCUUGACUUUGGGAUAACUUCAGGAAACUGGGGCUAAUACCGGAUAGGAGCUCCUGCUGCAUGGUGGGGGUUGGAAAGUUUCGGCGGUUGGGGAUGGACUCGCGGCUUAUCAGCUUGUUUGGGAGGUAGUGGCUUACCAAGGCUUUGACGGGUAGCCGGCCUGAGAGGGUGACCGGCCACAUUGGGACUGAGAUACGGACCAGACUCCUACGGGAGGCAGCAGUGGGGAAUAUUGCACAAUGGGCGGAAGCCUGAUGCAGCAACGCCGCGUGCGGGAUGACGGCCUUCGGGUUGUAAACCGCUUUCGCCUGUGACGAAGCGUGAGUGACGGUAAUGGGUAAAGAAGCACCGGCUAACUACGUG
This 468-nucleotide ribosomal RNA is filed under the name uncultured bacterium. Its description in RNAcentral is "partial 16S ribosomal RNA". It matches the Rfam family "Bacterial small subunit ribosomal RNA", at positions 28 to 507 of the family's 1533-position model. The record is from RNAcentral.